Molecule: ribosomal RNA, 453 nt
Filed under: Pseudomonas sp. oral taxon D58
Lineage: Bacteria; Pseudomonadati; Pseudomonadota; Gammaproteobacteria; Pseudomonadales; Pseudomonadaceae
Description: bacterial SSU rRNA
Rfam family: Bacterial small subunit ribosomal RNA
Source: RNAcentral
AUUGAACUUGCGCAGGCCCAAACUGCAGUUCGAGCGGUGAGGAGACUUGCUCUCUGAUUUAGCGCCGACGGUUGAUAUUCUAGGAAUCUGCUUGGUAGUGGGGGUAACGUUCCGAAGGGAACGCUAUACGGCUACGUCUUACGGGAGAAGCAGGGGCUUUCGGCCUUUGCGUUAUCAGUGACUUAGUCGGAUUAGUUAGUUGUGGGAAAGGCUCACCAAGGCGACGACCCGUAACUGGUCUGAGAGGAUGAUCAGUCACACUGGAAUGAGACACGGUCCAGACUCCUACGGGAGGCAGCAGUGGGGAAUAUUGGACAAUGGGCGAAAGCCUGAUCCAGCCAUGCCGCGUGUGUGAAGAAGGUCUUCGGAUUGUAAAGCACUUUAAGUUGGGAGGAAGGGUUGUAACCUAAUACGUUGCAAUUUUGACGUUACCGACGAUAAGCACCGCUAAUC